AUUGCGCCGUUCGUUCGUCAUCUUCGUUCCGUUCUGAGAGUCUCUCCCCCAAAUUUUUCCUUCGGGGCGGCAAGGUGAAGAGGCAGCUUUAAGACCCAGAGGCAGCGGCAGGAGCUUGCGGAGGCCACCGCUGCCGCCGUCUAGGGUUCAAGCUGGCAGAUCGUGCCACCGGCACCGCCAGCCAAGUUCGCCCACGGCGAGGACAAGCAACGACUGUAUCCUGUGUCGGCGUUCCGCGUCAAAGAGAGAGCAGGUUAGGGACUCAGAAGUCAGUACUGGCAGAUUGAAAGUUGUUUUCAUGCCACGUGUUUCUCGAUUAUAUUAGUCAAAGAAUUAUUUUAUAAGCCCAAGCCGCCGGAAAUGGCUAAGUCAAACUCGAACGGGAAAGGGAUAAAUCCAAUACAAACUUUUUUGAAAAGCUUGUCGCACAUGCCUUAUUGGCUUAUAUCGAGGAAGGAGCCGUGAUGGUACACAAGUUGAUCGCUCCGUCUAGCCACUUGGACUAUUGUAAGUUUCUGACUUCAACUGCUCAAUGAUGACGCUCAUGCCACCCUCCAUGGGAUGAUACACAUUAUAUAUGCACACAUUUGGUGCCUAGCAUUCUCGACUUGUGCCUCAUCAAGCCAACUGCUCCUGAUUCCUGAAGCGGUAAAAAGAGCGAGCUUUGGGAUUGGCAGCAAUGGCGACGAAACCACUAGUUGGCUCUCCGCUCUCGGCCUCUCCUGCUGCUCAAAGCACCCCUGACCCUGGCUUUCCAACCGGUGUUGCUGCUCAAGGCACCCCCACCCCUGGCCCUUCCAGUGGUGGUGGUGGUACCGGUGCUGCUGCUCCAGUCCCCGACGGUGGCCCUAAAAGUGGCAGCGGGAAUCCAAUUGGGUCACCUCCCGUGUUUCACGGAUAAGUUCUUGUUCUGCUUCGGAUCUCCGACCUUGUCUUGUGCAAGUUUCAAACUGUAAUAUGUUUGUUCCCAGUUCGGUCGAGGGUUCGACCGCCCUCUUGUUCGUUAAGCAUGUAGUUUGAAUGUUUGAUAACCACAACCUUAGUUCUUAUAACUGAUGUUGUUUUAAGUAUGGAUAUAUGGCUUGAAUAGUGAAUACACACAUCUGAUCAAUAGUAUCUAUGGGUCUAAAGCAGUGUAAUUCAGAUGCCAUCGAUCUGUGACAUUAUUCAAGUUGUAUGUCGAGGUUAAACAUGAGAUGCGUGUGGCAAGGUCAAACACAGAAUAUAUGUUGAGGUGAAAUGAAGACCUGUGUUGCAGUGUGGAGUGCAUA
Molecule: long non-coding RNA, 1271 nt
Organism: Aegilops tauschii subsp. strangulata
Lineage: Eukaryota; Viridiplantae; Streptophyta; Magnoliopsida; Poales; Poaceae
Source: RefSeq, a predicted model, not a curated record